Molecule: long non-coding RNA, 2655 nt
Organism: Vidua chalybeata
Lineage: Eukaryota; Metazoa; Chordata; Aves; Passeriformes; Viduidae
Exons: 2
Source: RefSeq, a predicted model, not a curated record
GGAGCAGCGGCCCCUCACACGGGAUAGCGGGGAAGGGUUUGGAACGCCGGGACCCUCACACGGGAUAGCGGGGAAGGGUUUGGAGCGCCGGGACCCUCACACGAGAUAGCCGGGAAGGGUUUGGAGCGCCGGGACCCUCACACGAGAUAGCCGGGAAGGGUUUCAAACACCGGGACCCUCACACGGGAUAGCGGGGAAGGGUUUGGAGCGCCGGGACCCUCACACGAGAUAGCCGGGAAGGGUUUGGAGCACCGGGACCCUCACACGGGAUAGCGGGGAAGGGUUUGGAGCACCGAGACCCUCACACGGGAUAGCGGGGAAAGAGCCGGGAAGGGUUUGGAGCACCGGGACCCUCACACAGGAUAGCCGGAAAGAGGCUGGGACAGGGUCUGGAGCCCCAGGAGAGGCUGAGGGAGCUGGGAAGGGGCUGAAGAAUCCCUGAGGGAGCUGGGAAGGGGCUGGAGAAUCCCUGAGGGAGCUGGGAAGGGGCUGGAGAAUCCCUGAGGGAGCUGGGAAGGGGCUCAGCCUGGAGCAAAGGAGGCUCAGGGGGCCCCUGUGGCUCUGCACAGCUCCUGACAGGAGGGGACAGCCGGGGGGGUCGGGCUGUGCUGCCCAUGCUGGAUCAGAAUCUCCUCUUUGGCAUAAAAACAAUGAUACUGACCGGGAGCAGGAAGGAUAACAAGGGAGCAGGAAAUAAAAUUCCUACAGACACAGCAGGAGAGAGAACCUUGGCAGAGUUAAAGCCCAUCUCAUUCCACCCUUGCCACUUUUCACUAGACCAGGUUGUCCAAGGCUUAUCCAACCUGGCCUGGUGUCUCUUAAUGAUGCUAAUUAAUUCAAAUAUCUCAAGACCUGGUUGUGCUGUAAUGCACAUAUCCAUUAUCUGCUGGCUCUAAUUUAAGAGCAGAUUAUAUCAAUUACCUUUUACUCCACAAGUAAUGGACUGAAUCACAUUUUUGACCCUUUUGCACUUCAGCAUUUGAGGAGUUGACAGAUGUAAACCAAUGCCAUGUAUUUAACAGGAGCUUGCAAUUAAAAACAACACGCACAAAUUAUUUCAAGGAAUUUCAAGCAAGGGCUGAGCCCUACUAGGAAAGAUGGACCUUUAAUUUUGCUUGUGCUCAUCUUCUUGUAAAAGGCAGCAAUAAUUUAGAACCGGUGAACUAGAGACUGGAAAGUCCCAGCCAGGCCCAACUGAGGGUUUUAUACAAUGGUUUUUCUUCUCAGCAAUAUUAUUUUAAAAGAAAUGCAAACCCACUAUCUCCGCUUCAUGAGGUAUGAAGACAAAUAUUUUUGUUUCCCUUUUGCAAGCUCUUCUCAAGUAACCAGACUGGAAUUGUCUUUUGGGUGAUGUAAACACUUCUCCCAUGAGCAAACCCACUGAUUUGGCUUUCAUUUAUUUAUUGACUUUCUGUAAUUCACAACCCAUUUCCUCAAAGCAGCAUCAGCCAAUUUCGCUCCUUAUUAAAAUAACCCUCUCUUAAUUGAUAAAUUCUAAUUUUAAAAUAUUUCCUGAUUCUAGUAUGACAGUUUGGGAAAUCUGACUAAAUACAACCCGUGUCUGAGGUUAGGAAGCCACUGAAGCUUUCAUAUCCCAGACUUUCACAGCAUAAGCAAAAGCUGUCAAAAGCUGCCACCAGAAAAUUCUUUUAUUUAGACUAUCUUGAGACAAACAUUUGACAGAGUUUUCUUUCACUUCCCCAUGUGCCACUGCAGUUCAGCCAACCAGGAAAAAAAAAUCCCCUACAAAGCCUCCACUAGUGCAAAUUUAUUUAUUUUUGAAGGUUUUUUCCCCUCCCAUAAGACCCAAACUAAAACUUCCUUGAGCUUAAUCCUCUUGAGGAAGAGAGAAGACAGGUAAUUCCUCCUGUCAGAGUUCUUUGACACGUGUUACGUUGUGCCUUCAUCCUGAUCAUCCUUUGUGUAAAGUUCAAUUCCAGUUUAUUCUGUCCUUCUUUACAGACCAGCUUUCCUGGAGGCCUCGAAGGCUGAUCCCUGAUGGGAUCUGGGAGCCAGGUGGGAUCAGGGAACAGGGACAGGACAGGAGGCUCAGGCUGGACCAGCAGGACUUUCCCCAUAGAAAGGAGAUUUGUUCAGAUAAAUAUUAGUUUUAGAGGUUAGGAGAUUUUAGAGCUGAAAUAAAGCAUGGAAAUCCAGGAUCUUCUCCAGCCUCAGCACAGCAUCCCCUCCCUCAUUUGUGGAACCAAAACAACUUUUGGAGAGGCUUUUAUUAUAAAUACAAACAAGGAAAUGUUGGUUUGGUUUUUUUUUUCCCUCAGCCUCCACGUUUCACCUCAGAUUUUCUCCCUCAAAGCAUUAUAAAAAUAACAAGGGGCCAGAAGCCUUUCAACGAGUUUCAUGUUGAAAAACAACAAAAUACCAUAAAAUACCAAGCCCCGAGUGGUUUUGCAAAGCACAUGAGAAGAUUUCAGUGACCUAUGUGCAUGUUUUGAAUCUAAGCGUGAGCAAGAAACACAGAACUGUUCUCCAACAGAACAAAACUUCAGCCUUGAGGGUUUAUUUAUUUAAAAAAUGUGACAUUAAAGCAAUUCCUUCCACCAAUUAUGCUGGAUACAGUCACAGAGCCCUGUGUGGCAGAUCAUAAUAAUUCCCUGAUCUCUUACAAAUAAAAAUUCCUAAUCCCCUGCUCAGCUC